UUCAAGUGAUAAUCCUGUAAAAUUAUUCACUAAGGAUUGACAACAUCAAUAUUUGAGAAGUUGUGAUAUAAGAUUAAAAUGCAUCGUCUCCGAGAUAUCAAGUAAAAUUUUUAUUAGGGGGAGAAAAAUACAUAUUGUACUUUUAUCCUUAACCAUGGUUUUAUCCCAAUUGGGUUUUCUAGGUAAGGUGUUUAACGAG
RNAcentral lists this long non-coding RNA (199 nucleotides) under Solanum tuberosum (potato). Its description in RNAcentral is "long non-coding RNA (STUB_LNC004716)". The record is from RNAcentral. Lineage: Eukaryota; Viridiplantae; Streptophyta; Magnoliopsida; Solanales; Solanaceae.